Molecule: transfer RNA, 60 nt
Filed under: Anthrenoides sp. LLL-2002
Lineage: Eukaryota; Metazoa; Arthropoda; Insecta; Hymenoptera; Andrenidae
Description: tRNA-Leu
Source: RNAcentral
UAUGGCAGAAUAGUGCAAUGGAUUUAAAUCCCAUAAAUAAAGUAUUUACUUUUAUUAAAA